UUUGAAAUUUGUUUCCCUUCCAAUAUGGUUUUAGGCGCUCAAAUUUUCAACUUUCCCUCUCAUGUUUUUCAGAUUCAGGCACUGAUUUUACUAUCGUUUUUGGCUGUGGGUAAAAAUACUCUUUUCAACUUGUUCCAACCUACAAAUGCACUGUCAGAGGCAUAGCAACUAGAAACCCUAGUUCUCACUCCCUCUCCUAACAUCGUCAAUUUCGUCCAUUCGGCCAUCUCCCAAAACAGCCGCCAGCCUUACGCCGUCUACCGCCGCGCCGGCCACCAGUCAUCCGCCGAGUCUUGAGGAACUGGUCGUGCUGUCUCCCUUAUCGCUCGUGUCCCCGGUGGUGGUACCCAUGACAUUGCAUAUCGACACCCUUGCGGCGACGGCAGUGAACGGCGGUGACGAUGAUACCUCGGUGAUGCUUAGAAGAACCGCGGCAACCGCCGCGAACUCAUCGGAGGAUAGUGUUCUUCCCUCUCCUCUGAACAUGCGCGCCUUCAUGCCGAAUUGCUCCGCCGUGGAAUCGUCGUAUCUAAAGCAUGGCAGCGAGCACAUAGUUAUGUUAUCAUGUAGUUGUAGACUUUAUUAUUUACUGCAAUGGAGAUUUGAUCUACUUGUAUUUUUGUACAGAUUGAAAAUGAUUAAGGAUCUAUGGAGUCUGAAAUUGGUGUUCCUGGUUAAACCUUUCCCAAGUGGGCAACAGAUAUAGCUCUACGACUUGGGGUUGGGGUUCCAUUCAAUUGUGCAAGCAAGAUGAUACUCCUGAUACUGUUCGCUGGAGGAGGAGGGAUCGUGGGAGGUGGUGAUUCCACGGCAUAUAUGAGCGCACAUGGAAGGGGUAGAGGAGGGGAGAUUGAGAGAGAUGUGUCUUCCAUGGCAGCAUCUUUGGAGUCUUGAGGUCCAAGGUUUGUGGUUUAAGUUAAUGUCUUGGCUGCCUGAGUAAUUUAUUCCCUUGGAUUUGAGCCUAAUUGUUCUUCUUGUUUUUGGGUGGUGUAGGAUUUUGUUCUUGUCAUUUUCUAUUUUCCUUUCAUGUAUGUACUCAAGUUGAAAGCUCCUGGGUCAUUUUCACUCGCUUGGCCCAAUUUUCUUAUGUGUAUUUGAUUUUUAUUAUAUGAAAACUCAGUUCAAUUAGUUCUGGUUUUGUGAGAAACGACUAUAAUGACUUAUAUCUAUCUUAUCCCUGCAUUGGCUGGUUGCUUGGGUUUGUAUAUAUUAGUUUGCUUUCUGAAGGGUAAUCCUUUAACAUAAAUGGAAAGACAAACUGUGUGAACUUCGUCAAAGAGUUAAGUGGGAUAUGAACUUCAAAAUUAAGAUGUAACAUAUUUCCUUUACACCACAUACUCUAUUAUUCAUACUCCAUUCAAUUAUUUCUUUUGUGAUUAAUCUCAAGUAGUAAUUGACCUAUGAAGAAAUUAAAAUUCAUUCAGGGAUUUUAUCUUACAACAAUUUUACGAAGUCUUCUGCAUCUAGCUUCUAGCUCUUGGAUCUGUAUGGUUCUCUUUGUCUAGCAUUAUUUAAGCAUUUCACAUAUGUCGAUAGUUACUUACUCUACUAAACUGAGCAUGAAUUUGGCUUCAAGCCAUUCUUCUUCAAUGGUUACUUCACCUUCGUAAGUUCUUUGCUUAUUUUUCUAUUGUCUUAUCAAUCUUGACUCGUAUGCUGAAACUCCUUAUUGUUCAUCUUAUAAAACUUUUUGUUUGAAGAUAAACUUACCUUCUGUUGUAAAACCCCAGUACGUAUGAUUGUUGAUAUUUAGAAAGUUGAAGCUGAUUCAAGAUAGUGAAGGAGAUUUUUGGCCAGUAUACAAGGUAACUGUGGAUAGAUUAUAGUUUGUCUGACUUAGCAGUAUAAGUUUUCAAUAUACUGGGGCAUGCCACUUAUCCUACUAAUCUUCUGUUUUCAUGCCUAGCUUCCAUUAGCAUAAAUGGUGUUUAUUCCAAGUCACUCAUGUAUCACAAGUGGAGAGAACAUUGGAUCCUUUAUUUAUUUUCUUCUAAGAGAGAAAAAUGUUUGAUAGUAUUUUCAGGAAAACUAGUAGAGUAUGAUGAGCCAAUGAACCUGAUGAAGAGAGAAUGUUUGUUGCUUGGGAAGCUUGUCAAAGAAUACUGGUCUCAUUUUCAGUCUGCAGAAUCUCAUUGAAGCUGAAUGCCUUUCUAGCUCUUCUGUCUUUUUCUGUGGGAUUGGUAAGAAGCCAAGAAAUUGUAAAUAAAAGUAGGGUGUAAGAUGUAUUAUUUGGACAAAUUCUAAGGCCAGGUAGGAAAAGGAUUAGAGGGACUUAGAUGUGAAUGGUGCAGAUGGAUUCAAAAGAAACAUUUCUAGGAAAACUCAUUAUCUCAUUCUGGACGAGGUGUAUAAACAGUUUCAGUUUGGAAAACAACAUUAUUUAGAAAUGUACUUGAGAUACAUGAUUUUGUUGAGGAAUGCGGAUAAAGUUGGUUCGAAGACACUGAUGUUCUAAAGUGCAACAUGUGUUAUGUUCAGGAGAGCAACAUGUGUUAUGUUCAUGAGAGGAAGUGCAUGCCAUCUCUUCGACAAGUCUUUGUUGCUGCAAGUUAUUAAUUUACUGUUUUUGCUUACUGUUUGGAAUUCUCCAGACUCGUAACAAAAAAUCCAGAAAAUUACAAGGGUUGAUUUAUUUGUACAUAUUGCAAUGAGAAUUACAUGUAGUUAUUUUUAACCUUUAGAUAGAUAACAGAUGUUGUUUUACAAGUUGCAAAAUUUAAUGAACUGAAUUUUAUUAUUAU
Molecule: long non-coding RNA, 2741 nt
Organism: Lotus japonicus
Lineage: Eukaryota; Viridiplantae; Streptophyta; Magnoliopsida; Fabales; Fabaceae
Exons: 2
Source: RefSeq, a predicted model, not a curated record